CUUUAGUUGCGAAAAAUACGGGCAUAUUAAAGAACUGUGCCCGACGGUGAGUGUUAAGGUACCUUUAGAGAGGCCGGUGACUGAAAAUGCGGUGGCUCACAGGGAAGGUGUUGGAGAAGUCAGUAAUGGAAAGAGCGCCGAUUAUGGACCAUGGAUGUUAGCAGAGAGAAAAUCACGGCGGGGUAAACGGGACUGUCGGGCUAAAGGAGAUGUGAAACUUGGAAAGAACCCGUUGGGUUCCAGAUUUGCGCCAUUAAUGGUGGAUGGUAUCUCAGGGGGAGAUAUUAUUGGAGCUGAUGGGGGGUUGACUGAAGAGG
This 317-nucleotide long non-coding RNA is filed under the name Gossypium barbadense (sea-island cotton). RNAcentral's name for it is "long non-coding RNA (GBAR_LNC008772)". The record is from RNAcentral. Lineage: Eukaryota; Viridiplantae; Streptophyta; Magnoliopsida; Malvales; Malvaceae.